CUAAUACAUGCAAGUCGAGCGAAUGGAUUGAGAGCUUGCUCUCAAGAAGUUAGCGGCGGACGGGUGAGUAACACGUGGGUAACCUGCCCAUAAGACUGGGAUAACUCCGGGAAACCGGGGCUAAUACCGGAUAACAUUUUGAACUGCAUGGUUCGAAAUUGAAAGGCGGCUUCGGCUGUCACUUAUGGAUGGACCCGCGUCGCAUUAGCUAGUUGGUGAGGUAACGGCUCACCAAGGCAACGAUGCGUAGCCGACCUGAGAGGGUGAUCGGCCACACUGGGACUGAGACACGGCCCAGACUCCUACGGGAGGCAGCAGUAGGGAAUCUUCCGCAAUGGACGAAAGUCUGACGGAGCAACGCCGCGUGAGUGAUGAAGGCUUUCGGGUCGUAAAACUCUGUUGUUAGGGAAGAACAAGUGCUAGUUGAAUAAGCUGGCACCUUGACGGUACCUAACCAGAAAGCCACGGCUAACUACGUGCCAGCAGCCGCGGUAAUACGUAGGUGGCAAGCGUUAUCCGGAAUUAUUGGGCGUAAAGCGCGCGCAGGUGGUUUCUUAAGUCUUGAUGUUGAAACCCACGGCUCAANCCGUGGGAGGGGUCAUUGGGAAACUGGGGAAGACUUUAANUGCAAAAAAAAGGAAAGUNGGAAUUNCCAUUGUUGUUAGCGGGUGNAAAUUGCCGUUANAAAAUUAUUGGAAGGAAACACCCAAGUGGGGGNAAAGGGCGAAAUUUUUCUUGGGUCCUGGGUAAACUGGACACCUUGAAGGGCCCCCAAAAAANCCGUUGGGGGAAGCCAAAACCNGGGANUUUANAAUUNCCCCUGGGGUUA
RNAcentral lists this ribosomal RNA (829 nucleotides) under Bacillus sp. 94. RNAcentral describes it as "bacterial SSU rRNA". It matches the Rfam family "Bacterial small subunit ribosomal RNA", at positions 48 to 720 of the family's 1533-position model. Lineage: Bacteria; Bacillati; Bacillota; Bacilli; Caryophanales; Bacillaceae. The record is from RNAcentral.